RNAcentral lists this non-coding RNA (111 nucleotides) under Micromonospora humi. RNAcentral describes it as "SAM-IV sequence". It matches the Rfam family "SAM (S-adenosyl methionine) riboswitch aptamer". From Rfam's summary of the family: SAM-IV is a mRNA element that regulates gene expression via direct sensing of S-adenosylmethionine (SAM or AdoMet). SAM-IV riboswitches share conserved nucleotide positions with the previously described SAM-I riboswitches sequence analysis and molecular recognition experiments suggest that SAM-I and SAM-IV riboswitches share similar ligand binding sites, but have different scaffolds. Lineage: Bacteria; Bacillati; Actinomycetota; Actinomycetes; Micromonosporales; Micromonosporaceae. The record is from RNAcentral.
GGUCAUGAGCGCCAGCGUCAAGCCCCGGCUCGCUGGCCGGCAACCCUCCACCACGGUGGGGUGCUCCGGGUGAGGACCAGGCGCCGGCAGCCGUCGGCGCAAGCGUGGCCU